Molecule: ribosomal RNA, 256 nt
Filed under: uncultured bacterium
Lineage: Bacteria
Description: partial 16S ribosomal RNA
Rfam family: Bacterial small subunit ribosomal RNA
Source: RNAcentral
UACGAAGGGGGGCUAGCGUUGCUCGGAAUGACUGGGCGUAAAGGGCGCGUAGGCGGCUUGCACAGUCAGGCGUGAAAUUCCUGGGCUCAACCUGGGGACUGCGCUUGAGACGUGUGGGCUUGAGUGGGGAAGAGGGUCGUGGAAUUCCCAGUGUAGAGGUGAAAUUCGUAGAUAUUGGGAAGAACACCGGUGGCGAAGGCGGCGACCUGGUCCGUUGACUGACGCUGAGGCGCGAAAGCCGUGGGGAGCAAACAGG